ACGGAGGGUGCAAGCGUUAUCCGGAUUCACUGGGUUUAAAGGGUGUGUAGGCGGGCUGUUAAGUCAGUGGUGAAAUCUCCGGGCUCAACCCGGAAACUGCCAUUGAUACUGCGGGUCUUGAGUCCGAUAGAGGUGGGUGGAAUUCCUAGUGUAGAGGUGAAAUUCGUAGAUAUUAGGAAGAACACCGGUGGCGAAGGCGGCCCACUGGAUCGGUACUGACGCUGAGGUGCGAAAGCGUGGGGAGCAAACAGGA
RNAcentral lists this ribosomal RNA (253 nucleotides) under uncultured prokaryote. Its description in RNAcentral is "partial 16S ribosomal RNA". It matches the Rfam family "Bacterial small subunit ribosomal RNA", at positions 525 to 777 of the family's 1533-position model. The record is from RNAcentral.